RNAcentral lists this ribosomal RNA (292 nucleotides) under uncultured bacterium. Its description in RNAcentral is "partial 16S ribosomal RNA". It matches the Rfam family "Archaeal small subunit ribosomal RNA", at positions 455 to 747 of the family's 1478-position model. The record is from RNAcentral.
GUGUCAGCAGCCGCGGUAAUACCUGCAGCUCGAGUGGUGGCCGCUAUUAUUGGGCCUAAAACGUCCGUAGCCGGCUUAUUAAAUGCCUGGGUAAAUCGUACGGCUCAACCUUACGAAUUCCGGGUAGACUGAUAGGCUUGGGACCGGGAGAAGCUAGAGGUACUCCUGGGGUAGAGGUGAAAUUCUGUAAUCCUAGGGGGACCACCAGUGGCGAAGGCGUCUAGCUAGAACGGGUUUGACGGUGAGGGACGAAGCCCUGGGGAGCAAACGGGAUUAGAUACCCGGGUAGUCC